This 335-nucleotide long non-coding RNA is filed under the name Androctonus crassicauda. Lineage: Eukaryota; Metazoa; Arthropoda; Arachnida; Scorpiones; Buthidae. The record is from RNAcentral.
UUUCAAUAGGGCAUACACCUAUAUGUCAGAUGCGGCACCUUUAAACUUGGAGAUUAAAUACAUAUAUCAAGUAGCACGAGAACACGGAUACAAUAAACGUGUUAUUGAUAAGAUACACCGCAAGGUGAGAACGAAAAUACAUACCGCAGCUCGCAAUAUAAACCAACAAACAGAGGAACAAGAUACCUUCGUCGCACUCCCAUAUCCGCUGUCUAAGUCCUCGCUAAUAAAAGAAAUAACCUCGAAGGCAAGAAAAAAAGAUCGCUCCGAAACGAAUGCCAACCCUGUUUAACACCCUACGGAACGAGAACGACAAAAAGAAUGAAACAGAGAAG